UGCAGAAUCCCGUGAACCAUCGAGUCUUUGAACGCAAGUUGCGCCCGAUGCCAUUAGGUUGAGGGCACGUCUGACUGGGUGUCACAUAUCGAAGCCCCUUGCCAAUUUCCCUUUGACUGGUGUUGUGCAGGGUGGAUGUUGGCCUCCCGUGAGCUCUUUCGUCUCAUGGUUGGUUGAAAAUUGAGACCUUGGUAGGGUGUGCCAUGAUAGAUGGUGGUUGUGUGACCCACGAGACCAAUCAUGCGCUGCUCUAUUGAAUUUGGCCUCUUUUACCCAUAUGCGUUUCUAAACGCUCGUGAUGAGACCUCAGAUCAGGCGGGGCUACCCGCUGAAUUUAAGCAUAUCAAUAAGCGGAGGAAAAGAAACUAACAAGGAUUCCCUUAGUAACGGCGAGCGAACCGGGAUAAGCCCACCAUGAGAAUCGGUCGCCCUCGGCGUUCGA
RNAcentral lists this ribosomal RNA (442 nucleotides) under Vicia parviflora. RNAcentral describes it as "eukaryotic LSU rRNA". The stretch from base 302 to 442 matches the Rfam family "Eukaryotic large subunit ribosomal RNA", at positions 1 to 141 of the family's 3401-position model. Lineage: Eukaryota; Viridiplantae; Streptophyta; Magnoliopsida; Fabales; Fabaceae. The record is from RNAcentral.